UUAAGUUAUUAAGGGCGCACGGUGGAUGCCUUGGCACUAGAAGCCGAUGAAGGACGUUACUAACGACGAUAUGCUUUGGGGAGCUGUAAGUAAGCUUUGAUCCAGAGAUUUCCGAAUGGGGAAACCCAGCAUGAGUUAUGUCAUGUUAUCGAUAUGUGAAUACAUAGCAUAUCAGAAGGCAUACCCGGAGAACUGAAACAUCUUAGUACCCGGAGGAAGAGAAAGAAAAUUCGAUUCCCUUAGUAGCGGCGAGCGAAACGGGAAGAGCCCAAACCAACAAGCUUGCUUGUUGGGGUUGUAGGACACUCUAUACGGAGUUACAAAGGACGACAUUAGACGAAUCAUCUGGAAAGAUGAAUCAAAGAAGGUAAUAAUCCUGUAGUCGAAAAUGUUGUCUCUCUUGAGUGGAUCCUGAGUACGACGGAGCACGUGAAAUUCCGUCGGAAUCUGGGAGGACCAUCUCCUAAGGCUAAAUACUCUCUAGUGACCGAUAGUGAACCAGUACCGUGAGGGAAAGGUGAAAAGCACCCCGGAAGGGGAGUGAAAUAGAACCUGAAACCGUGUGCUUACAAGUAGUCAGAGCCCGUUAAUGGGUGAUGGCGUGCCUUUUGUAGAAUGAACCGGCGAGUUACGAUUUGAUGCAAGGUUAAGCAGUAAAUGUGGAGCCGUAGCGAAAGCGAGUCUGAAUAGGGCGUUUAGUAUUUGGUCGUAGACCCGAAACCAGGUGAUCUACCCUUGGUCAGGUUGAAGUUCAGGUAACACUGAAUGGAGGACCGAACCGACUUACGUUGAAAAGUGAGCGGAUGAACUGAGGGUAGCGGAGAAAUUCCAAUCGAACCUGGAGAUAGCUGGUUCUCUCCGAAAUAGCUUUAGGGCUAGCCUCAAGUGAUGAUUAUUGGAGGUAGAGCACUGUUUGGACGAGGGGCCCCUCUCGGGUUACCGAAUUCAGACAAACUCCGAAUGCCAAUUAAUUUAACUUGGGAGUCAGAACAUGGGUGAUAAGGUCCGUGUUCGAAAGGGAAACAGCCCAGACCACCAGCUAAGGUCCCAAAAUAUAUGUUAAGUGGAAAAGGAUGUGGCGUUGCCCAGACAACUAGGAUGUUGGCUUAGAAGCAGCCAUCAUUUAAAGAGUGCGUAAUAGCUCACUAGUCGAGUGACACUGCGCCGAAAAUGUACCGGGGCUAAACAUAUUACCGAAGCUGUGGAUUGUCCUUUGGACAAUGGUAGGAGAGCGUUCUAAGGGCGUUGAAGCAUGAUCGUAAGGACAUGUGGAGCGCUUAGAAGUGAGAAUGCCGGUGUGAGUAGCGAAAGACGGGUGAGAAUCCCGUCCACCGAUUGACUAAGGUUUCCAGAGGAAGGCUCGUCCGCUCUGGGUUAGUCGGGUCCUAAGCUGAGGCCGACAGGCGUAGGCGAUGGAUAACAGGUUGAUAUUCCUGUACCACCUAUAAUCGUUUUAAUCGAUGGGGGGACGCAGUAGGAUAGGCGAAGCGUGCGAUUGGAUUGCACGUCUAAGCAGUAAGGCUGAGUAUUAGGCAAAUCCGGUACUCGUUAAGGCUGAGCUGUGAUGGGGAGAAGACAUUGUGUCUUCGAGUCGUUGAUUUCACACUGCCGAGAAAAGCCUCUAGAUAGAAAAUAGGUGCCCGUACCGCAAACCGACACAGGUAGUCAAGAUGAGAAUUCUAAGGUGAGCGAGCGAACUCUCGUUAAGGAACUCGGCAAAAUGACCCCGUAACUUCGGGAGAAGGGGUGCUCUUUAGGGUUAACGCCCAGAAGAGCCGCAGUGAAUAGGCCCAAGCGACUGUUUAUCAAAAACACAGGUCUCUGCUAAACCGUAAGGUGAUGUAUAGGGGCUGACGCCUGCCCGGUGCUGGAAGGUUAAGAGGAGUGGUUAGCUUCUGCGAAGCUACGAAUCGAAGCCCCAGUAAACGGCGGCCGUAACUAUAACGGUCCUAAGGUAGCGAAAUUCCUUGUCGGGUAAGUUCCGACCCGCACGAAAGGCGUAACGAUUUGGGCACUGUCUCAACGAGAGACUCGGUGAAAUCAUAGUACCUGUGAAGAUGCAGGUUACCCGCGACAGGACGGAAAGACCCCGUGGAGCUUUACUGUAGCCUGAUAUUGAAAUUCGGCACAGCUUGUACAGGAUAGGUAGGAGCCUUUGAAACGUGAGCGCUAGCUUACGUGGAGGCGCUGGUGGGAUACUACCCUAGCUGUGUUGGNNUUUCUAACCCGCACCACUUAUCGUGGUGGGAGACAGUGUCAGGCGGGCAGUUUGACUGGGGCGGUCGCCUCCUAAAAGGUAACGGAGGCGCUCAAAGGUUCCCUCAGAAUGGUUGGAAAUCAUUCAUAGAGUGUAAAGGCAUAAGGGAGCUUGACUGCGAGACCUACAAGUCGAGCAGGGUCGAAAGACGGACUUAGUGAUCCGGUGGUUCCGCAUGGAAGGGCCAUCGCUCAACGGAUAAAAGCUACCCCGGGGAUAACAGGCUUAUCUCCCCCAAGAGUUCACAUCGACGGGGAGGUUUGGCACCUCGAUGUCGGCUCAUCGCAUCCUGGGGCUGUAGUCGGUCCCAAGGGUUGGGCUGUUCGCCCAUUAAAGCGGUACGCGAGCUGGGUUCAGAACGUCGUGAGACAGUUCGGUCCCUAUCCGUCGUGGGCGUAGGAAAUUUGAGAGGAGCUGUCCUUAGUACGAGAGGACCGGGAUGGACAUACCUCUGGUGUACCAGUUGUCGUGCCAACGGCAUAGCUGGGUAGCUAUGUGUGGACGGGAUAAGUGCUGAAAGCAUCUAAGCAUGAAGCCCCCCUCAAGAUGAGAUUUCCCAACUUCGGUUAUAAGAUCCCUCAAAGAUGAUGAGGUUAAUAGGUUCGAGGUGGAAGCAUGGUGACAUGUGGAGCUGACGAAUACUAAUCGAUCGAAGACUUAAUCAA
RNAcentral lists this ribosomal RNA (2922 nucleotides) under Staphylococcus aureus. RNAcentral describes it as "23S ribosomal RNA". It matches the Rfam family "Bacterial large subunit ribosomal RNA". Lineage: Bacteria; Bacillati; Bacillota; Bacilli; Caryophanales; Staphylococcaceae. The record is from RNAcentral.